RNAcentral lists this long non-coding RNA (364 nucleotides) under Astyanax mexicanus (Mexican tetra). Its description in RNAcentral is "lncRNA (ENSAMXG00005013405.1)". The record is from RNAcentral. Lineage: Eukaryota; Metazoa; Chordata; Actinopteri; Characiformes; Acestrorhamphidae.
CGCGGCUUCACCUCAUCCGGCUUUCUGGUCCUGCUCUACUUCAAAGCAGCAGAACCAGAGAGCCUCCACUGGGAAACUCCUUUUUGAGCCAAGGUGCAGCAGAGCAGAUAAACCCUGUUUGAUGGAAAGAGGCGCUUUUUUCCCAGGAGCCUCUUUAGAACGUUUACUCAGAUGUGGAACCCGCACAAGAAUGAACACUGGAACAUGGAAGCACAAGGAUAUCCAUACACAGGGAAAUAGGAAACACCUGGGGAAGGUAACGAGGAGGCAGAGUUACAAAUGAACAGGUGGAAACACUGAGAUGAAGACAUAAGAGGAAACAGUACAGAAACAAAACAGAAACACAGAAAACAGACCAGAAAGC